This 393-nucleotide ribosomal RNA is filed under the name uncultured bacterium. RNAcentral's name for it is "bacterial SSU rRNA". It matches the Rfam family "Bacterial small subunit ribosomal RNA", at positions 29 to 424 of the family's 1533-position model. The record is from RNAcentral.
AUUAAACGCUGGCGGCAUGCCUUACACAUGCAAGUCGAACGGCAGCACGGGGGCAACCCUGGUGGCGAGUGGCGAACGGGUGAGUAAAGCAUCGGAACGUGCCCUGGAGUGGGGGAUAACGUAGCGAAAGUUACGCUAAUACCGCAUAUUCUGUGAGCAGGAAAGCAGGGGAUCGCAAGACCUUGCGCUCUGGGAGCGGCCGAUGUCGGAUUAGCUAGUUGGUGGGGUAAAGGCCUACCAAGGCGACGAUCCGUAGCGGGUCUGAGAGGAUGAUCCGCCACACUGGGACUGAGACACGGCCCAGACUCCUACGGGAGGCAGCAGUGGGGAAUUUUGGACAAUGGGCGCAAGCCUGAUCCAGCCAUGCCGCGUGAGUGAAGAAGGCCUCGGGUU